UGGCUCAGAACGAACGCUGGCGGCAGGCCUAACACAUGCAAGUCGAGCGGCCAUAGCAAUAUGGCAGCGGCAGACGGGAGAGUAACACGUGGGAACGUACCCUUUGGUUCGGAAUAACUCAGGGAAACUUGAGCUAAUACCGGAUAAGUCCGUAAGGAGAAAGAUUUAUCGCCAAAGGAUCGGCCCGCGUCCGAUUAGCUAGUUGGUGGGGUAAUGGCCCACCAAGGCGACGAUCGGUAGCUGGUCUGAGAGGAUGAUCAGCCACACUGGGACUGAGACACGGCCCAGGGACAUACGGGAGGCAGC
This 306-nucleotide ribosomal RNA is filed under the name uncultured Hyphomicrobiales bacterium. Its description in RNAcentral is "bacterial SSU rRNA". It matches the Rfam family "Bacterial small subunit ribosomal RNA", at positions 20 to 352 of the family's 1533-position model. The record is from RNAcentral. Lineage: Bacteria; Pseudomonadati; Pseudomonadota; Alphaproteobacteria; Hyphomicrobiales.